This is a long non-coding RNA of Ixodes scapularis (black-legged tick), 272 nucleotides long. RefSeq lists it as uncharacterized. Lineage: Eukaryota; Metazoa; Arthropoda; Arachnida; Ixodida; Ixodidae. The record is from RefSeq and is a predicted model, not a curated record. The transcript has 3 exons.
GAGUUCUCUAUCUUCAUCGAGCUGCACAUCCUCCAGCCGCCCAGACUCCCAGAGUUCCUGUGGCAUUCCUGACGACCAGUCUUCCGAAAUGGAACUGUCCUUAGAAGAAGGGAGGAGUUCUCUAUCUUCAUCGAGCUGCACAUCCUCCAGCCGCCCAGACUCGCGGAGUUCCUGUGGCAUUCCUGACGUACGGUCUUCAGAAAUCGAGCUGUCACUGGAAGAAGGGAGAAGUUCUCCAUCUUCAUCGAGCUGCACAUCCUCCAGCCGCCCAG